GGGGAUGUAGCUCAGUGAUAGAGCUCUUGCCUAGCAAGUGUGAGGCCUUGGAUUGCAUUCCCA
Molecule: transfer RNA, 63 nt
Filed under: Urocitellus parryii (Arctic ground squirrel)
Lineage: Eukaryota; Metazoa; Chordata; Mammalia; Rodentia; Sciuridae
Also listed under: 2 other names
Description: Spermophilus parryii (Arctic ground squirrel) tRNA
Rfam family: tRNA
About the family: Transfer RNA (tRNA) molecules are approximately 80 nucleotides in length.
Source: Rfam by way of RNAcentral